Molecule: non-coding RNA, 181 nt
Organism: Caenorhabditis elegans
Lineage: Eukaryota; Metazoa; Nematoda; Chromadorea; Rhabditida; Rhabditidae
Source: Ensembl
AAAGAACCAUGAAGAUCUCAGAAAAAUGAUUGGAUUGGCAGUGGCAGGUGGUGAAGAGCUCGUGUACUCUGUAAGACUAUAUAGGUGCGGUGGAGCAUGUGAUUUGAUUGACUGGCAAUGUACAAACCAGGCAUAGCCGAAGAGCCCUCACUUAAGCUUUUAAAUGGUUAGGAUUAUUUUU